This 411-nucleotide ribosomal RNA is filed under the name uncultured bacterium. RNAcentral's name for it is "bacterial SSU rRNA". It matches the Rfam family "Bacterial small subunit ribosomal RNA", at positions 29 to 429 of the family's 1533-position model. The record is from RNAcentral.
AACGAACGCUGGCGGCGCGCCUAAUACAUGCAAGUCGAGCGAGAAGACGUAGCAAUACGUUUGUAAAGCGGCGAACGGGUGAGGAAUACAUGGGUAACCUACCCUCGAGUGGGGAAUAACUAGCCGAAAGGUUAGCUAAUACCGCGUACGCUCCUUGGACUUCGGUUCAGGGAGGAAAGCGAUACCGUGGGUAUCGCGCUCUUGGAUGGGCUCAUGUCCUAUCAGCUUGUUGGUGAGGUAACGGCUCACCAAGGCUUCGACGGGUAGCUGGUCUGAGAGGACGAUCAGCCACACUGGCACUGCGACACGGGCCAGACUCCUAUGGGAGGCAGCAGUAAGGAAUAUUGCGCAAUGGGCGAAAGCCUGACGCAGCGACGCCGCGUGGGGGAGUGAAGGUCUUCGGAUUGUAAA